This 219-nucleotide long non-coding RNA is filed under the name Elaeis guineensis (African oil palm). RNAcentral describes it as "long non-coding RNA (EGUI_LNC005317)". Lineage: Eukaryota; Viridiplantae; Streptophyta; Magnoliopsida; Arecales; Arecaceae. The record is from RNAcentral.
UUUUUUUAUAGUCUAAUACUUGUAGUCGGAUUUUGGUCCAAUUUUAUAACUUUUUGUUGACAAUAAAUGAAAAUAUUUCUAAAUUUGAACUCUUAUUUUUUGGAAUGUCUGCAAUGUCUGCAAUGUAAAAUAACCACCAAAUAUUGAUCGAUAAUCCGAUCAUUCGAUAAGACUCAUAGAAUAUCAGUUGGUCGCGUAGUCCUCAAUGUAUUUUGAUGG